This 425-nucleotide ribosomal RNA is filed under the name uncultured bacterium. Its description in RNAcentral is "bacterial SSU rRNA". It matches the Rfam family "Bacterial small subunit ribosomal RNA", at positions 356 to 773 of the family's 1533-position model. The record is from RNAcentral.
AGGGAAUCUUCCGCAAUGGACGAAAGUCUGACGGAGCAACGCCGCGUGAGUGAUGAAGGUUUUCGGAUCGUAAAGCUCUGUUGUUAGGGAAGAACAAGUGCGAGAGUGACUGCUCGCACCUUGACGGUACCUAACCAGAAAGCCACGGCUAACUACGUGCCAGCAGCCGCGGUAAUACGUAGGUGGCAAGCGUUGUCCGGAAUUAUUGGGCGUAAAGGGCUCGCAGGCGGUUUCUUAAGGCUGAGGUGAAAGCCCCCGGCUCAACCGGGGAGGGUCAUUGGAAACUGGGAAACUUGAGUGCAGAAGAGGAGAGUGGAAUUCCACGUGUAGCGGUGAAAUGCGUAGAGAUGUGGAGGAACACCAGUGGCGAAGGCGACUCUCUGGUCUGUAACUGACGCUGAGGAGCGAAAGCGUGGGGAGCGAAC